Molecule: small RNA, 128 nt
Filed under: Marmota monax (woodchuck)
Lineage: Eukaryota; Metazoa; Chordata; Mammalia; Rodentia; Sciuridae
Source: RNAcentral
AGUGGGCACUGUGGUGCGUGCCUGUAAUCCCAGCAACUCAGGAGUUUGAGGCAGGAGGAUCGCAAGUUCAAAGCCAGCCUCAGCAACUUAGCAAGGCCCUAAGCAACUUAAACAAGACCCUGUCUCAA